GAGAUGGGAAUACCCCUUUAAGGCUUAAAUUAAUGAUUCACUAGGGGGUUAAAAAUACAAUAGUGUUCCCUGAGUUGUGCGCCGACAAGAUUUACUACAGACACACGUUAAAAAUCUAAAAUAAGAAAAGUGACAUUUUUGGGAGAGUUAUUUCAAUUUUAACGUGACUGUUAGGAGGUUAAAAGAGUGCUGGAUCAAAUUUUUAUUUUGA
Molecule: long non-coding RNA, 211 nt
Organism: Bufo bufo (common toad)
Lineage: Eukaryota; Metazoa; Chordata; Amphibia; Anura; Bufonidae
Exons: 3
Source: RefSeq, a predicted model, not a curated record